Molecule: transfer RNA, 74 nt
Filed under: Ipomoea nil (Japanese morning glory)
Lineage: Eukaryota; Viridiplantae; Streptophyta; Magnoliopsida; Solanales; Convolvulaceae
Rfam family: tRNA
About the family: Transfer RNA (tRNA) molecules are approximately 80 nucleotides in length.
Source: Rfam by way of RNAcentral
GGUUCCAUGGUGUAGUGGUUAGCACUCUGGACUUUGAAUACCCAGUGACUUGGGUUCAACUCCCGGUGGGACCU